Molecule: long non-coding RNA, 1011 nt
Filed under: Volvox carteri
Lineage: Eukaryota; Viridiplantae; Chlorophyta; Chlorophyceae; Chlamydomonadales; Volvocaceae
Description: long non-coding RNA (VCAR_LNC001894)
Source: RNAcentral
CUUGAUGCGGUGAAUGCCGAUGAUAUUUCGGGAGCAGAACUCCUGUCACAGUCCCUGCGGACACGGACACGGACAGACCACCGUCUCCCUCCCACGUAUUGACUCUGCAAGGUGGAGGUCGCUGGAAAACAGUCCUGUUCCACAUGAUUAAGAUUGAACUCGUGCAAUCAGCCGUUGCCGGGACCCCCAAACAGCGUUGCACGUUCCCCACUGUACGACCACUCACAACAAUGCGCACCCAAGCUAACGGCGCGGUGCAAAACAGGCGCGAUUCAACCUCAGUGGCUAAAAUCGCUCCUGGUCGCUUGGGGGUGCACAUCUCACAGCAGGCUCAGGGCCAGGCUUUCAGAAUCCUCCAAUCCAGAGCAGGGGGCUCAGGUUAGGUCCGAGUAGCGUCGGGCACGGAACGUGUCAUCCAUUCCGUCGGUUGCUAAAAACGACAUCAUGAUUUCGCUAGCUGAUUUAGAGGAUAAUUUGUUGUUACGUUUUUACCUUCGGGACUCAGGAGGCGAGAACGAUCACGUGUCGGCAGGUCUUGUCAGUUGUCAAAACUUGGCUUAGGCAAGCGUUGGGGCACAUCACCACGCGGCUCUGUGCAUGUAUUCCCAGGCGCCCACUGUCUAGGUGUUAACGGUUUAUAGAUACAGAAGACGUGACUGUGGGCUGCAGAGCCAUGCCAGCAAUACAGGAUUGCUCGCCUCCCUUGGUCGGUUGGUCUCCCUUCUGUCCCAAUAUGUCCUAAUGUGGCCCGUCACAAGAAUAUUCCCAGCGGCAUUCAUGGUCGUGAUGCGAAUGUUAUAAAAUUUUUAUUUUUCUGUACAUCGAUAUUAAUUAUGCCAUUGAUGAAUCCUUACUCUCUGUGCAGUAUGAUCCGUUGAAAGAUUUCAUAGGACAUUUUUAGAAAGUUCCACGGUAAUUGAUGGCUAUUCCAUUAUUCGAUAGUUAAUGUCUCGAUCACACUUAGCCAACUGAUCCGCCUCAAUCGCAUUGCGGCUGCCCAUUUCCGACAAG